UCAUUUUGAGCCUUAGUUUUCCUCAUUUUAUCUUUGCAGGUUCGGGACGAAUGAUUGUACAGAUAUCCAUCUUGGCCAUCUCAUAACUACAGAAGUGCAUAUUCAGUACACUUCACUUAUGUGAAUUUCAUUAAAAUCCUCUUCUUCCUUGAAAUUAAUUUCAAAUUUUUAACACAAUUUUUCUUCCAUCAAGUUAAAUGGUCACUGAUAGGAAAAAAAUACAGCAUAAUGUUCUUUGCAGCAGUAUUUUAUAUACAGAUAGUUCUUGAGCUACUAUCCAACUGAGAAAGAAUUUCAAUUGCUAAGCAAGGCAAUUGUUAAAUGAUUCAGCUCUGAGGAUCAGUCAACUUGUUUGGAUCAUUGUAAAUAUGGUUGUAAUUGUUACUGGGAAUGCAGCGAAGAGGAAAAGCAACAAAAAGAAGAGAAGAGAAAAGAAAAAGAAAUGGGAAAAAAGAGAAAAUAGGGGGAAAUGAUUAAUGUGUUGCAUGCUUCUUUAUAUAUAUGAAUCAGGAUGAGAAAGAAAGAGAUAAUGUUUCAAUCCAAGAAAAUAAAUCAGACUAAGAGACCAAUAUUAUAUAGCUUGGGAUGCUUUUAUUGAAAUACUUGUAAUAACAGAAACUUGUAAUGUAUGCUUUCCUCUUCCUCUCUUUAUAUUUCUGUCAGCUAGGAAGGGACUUUUCUGAGUUGCUUUUUAAGUUAUUUUCUUGGCCAGGACUCAAGUUCCUUUUAUCUGAUGUUCAAGUUCCUUUUAUCUGAUGUUGCCUUGGUAGCAACUGUUGUGUCCUGAGCUGCAAAAGCAGGCUCGGGACGUUGCAUUGGUCCUGGGCAUUCCAAAAGCUGUCCGGGACCAGACUGAGUGGUGCCAGCCUUGCGUGCAUGCGCAGGGUGCACAAAUGCUCUGCUACUUGUUGCCAUUGUGUCUGGGUCUCUGGGCAGAUAAAGAGAGGCCUGCAUGCCGUUUGUGUUGUUGGGAUGUUGUUGUUAAACGAAUAAAGAGCUGUUAACUACACAAUGAGUCUUCCUCAUUCACCCACGAUCAAAGGA
Molecule: long non-coding RNA, 1044 nt
Organism: Crotalus tigris (Tiger rattlesnake)
Lineage: Eukaryota; Metazoa; Chordata; Lepidosauria; Squamata; Viperidae
Exons: 3
Source: RefSeq, a predicted model, not a curated record